This 795-nucleotide ribosomal RNA is filed under the name Scolecobasidium fusiforme. RNAcentral describes it as "eukaryotic LSU rRNA". It matches the Rfam family "Eukaryotic large subunit ribosomal RNA", at positions 71 to 883 of the family's 3401-position model. Lineage: Eukaryota; Fungi; Ascomycota; Dothideomycetes; Venturiales; Sympoventuriaceae. The record is from RNAcentral.
GGGAUUGCCUCAGUAACGGCGAGUGAAGCGGCAACAGCUCAAAUUUGAAAUCUGGGUCUUUCAGGCUCCGAGUUGUAAUUUGUAGAAGAUGCUUCGGGUGUGGCUCCGGUCUAAGUUCCUUGGAACAGGACGUCAUAGAGGGUGAGAAUCCCGUAUGUGACUGGUUGCCUUCGCUCAUGUGAAGCUCUUUCGACGAGUCGAGUUGUUUGGGAAUGCAGCUCAAAAUGGGUGGUAAAUUUCAUCUAAAGCUAAAUAUUGGCCAGAGACCGAUAGCGCACAAGUAGAGUGAUCGAAAGAUGAAAAGCACUUUGGAAAGAGAGUUAAACAGUACGUGAAAUUGUUGAAAGGGAAGCGCUUGCAACCAGACUUGCACGCUGCCGAUCAUCCAGGGUUCUCUCUGGUGCACUCGGUUGCGUUCAGGCCAGCAUCGGUUUGGGUGGUUGGAUAAAGGCCUUGGGAAUGUAGCUUCCUUCGGGGAGUGUUAUAGCCCUCGGUGCAAUGCAGCCUACCUGGACCGAGGACCGCGCUUCGGCUAGGAUGCUGGCGUAAUGGUUGUAAGCGACCCGUCUUGAAACACGGACCAAGGAGUCUAACAUCUAUGCGAGUGUUUGGGUGUCAAACCCAUACGCGUAAUGAAAGUGAACGGAGGUGAGAACCCUUAAGGGUGCAUCAUCGACCGAUCCUGAUGUCUUCGGAUGGAUUUGAGUAAGAGCAUAGCUGUUGGGACCCGAAAGAUGGUGAUCUAUACUUGAAUAGGGUGAAGCCAGAGGAAACUCUGGUGGAGGCUCGCAGCGG